Molecule: long non-coding RNA, 263 nt
Filed under: Lathyrus oleraceus (garden pea)
Lineage: Eukaryota; Viridiplantae; Streptophyta; Magnoliopsida; Fabales; Fabaceae
Description: Pisum sativum (pea) long non-coding RNA (PSAT_LNC003335)
Source: RNAcentral
AAACAUGUAUAUAACAUGUGAGUUAGUCAUUACUAUUUUUUGGGUUUUUACUUUCUUCAAUUCUUCUUCGAGGUUUAGGCUUUUGAAGUUCAUCUAGACAUUUGCUUGUUGGAGUUAUUUCUUUGGUAAGUGCAUUUCUGUCAUCCUUUCUUUUUCAAUCGUAAUUUCAAGUUUUGCUCUUUUAAUGUACUCCACCUUUGAGGAUAAAAAAGGUGUUUUUUUUACCUGCCUAGGUAGUUUUUCGAUCAAGCUUGAUACUUUUU